Molecule: long non-coding RNA, 2944 nt
Organism: Cynoglossus semilaevis (tongue sole)
Lineage: Eukaryota; Metazoa; Chordata; Actinopteri; Pleuronectiformes; Cynoglossidae
Exons: 2
Source: RefSeq, a predicted model, not a curated record
UUUUCAAUGUGUGACAAUUGGCAUCUGUGGAAAUAAAAAAAUGAAUUGCGCAUCAAGGAGUAAACCUUAGGCUGCAUUUUCGCAAAAAGACGCUGGUCAUAUCGCACACAUUGUAAAACUGUACAAUGCGUACGUCGAAAGAAAUAGAAAAGAAAUUCAUGUCAGUCUUCACCGAGGCUAGGCCUAGCUUAUGCCGCAAGCGUUCUCAGCCUUCACCAGCAGAUUAGAAUCUUCUUAGAUUUGGGUCUAUGUUCCACUUGUGAAUAUUUCAAUUGGUAGAAAAAGAAAAUCCUGGCGUGGGGCAAAAUACUUUCCGUUUCUCUUAUUAUUUGUGAACUACUCUCCGUGUAAUCUUGAUCGUUAUAGCCUUUAAUUUAGAUACAACCACGCCAAGUGAUUAAUCCUAUGAUCUAUGAUGCCAAGAUUCUGUCUGGGUAGAUCCCAUAUAUCACAUAUGAAAUCUAUUUACCCCCCCAAUUCUAAUAAUUUCAUGCUUGUAUAUUCAUAAUCAUGGUAUUGAUUUUUACUGUAAUUGUACCUUUAACCCUCUUUUGUCUAUAUUGUGGUUGUUGUCGUCUCCCCUGCCCUGAUCAGCCUUUGAGACCAGUAUGUGACUUGUUUGUAAUCCAAGGGAUGGGAGGGGGGAGUUAGUGGGGUGGUGCUAAUGGCAUGCAGACUACUGAAGCCUGAUCACACUCACACAUUACUCCCACCCCAGCACCAAACUGACUCUCCCUCCUUUUUUUCCUAGGCUGCAGUGCUUCAGACAAAGACAUUCGUACACACACACACACACACACACACACACACAUGCAUGCACACACUCACAUACAUUUAAAUGCCUUCAUAAUUUUACAUGUAGAUGCUGUGGUUCUCAUCCUAUUUGGCUUUACUUGCCCCUUUUAUUAUUAUGAGAGACAUUUUAAAUCAAAAUACAAAAAAAAUUCUCUGUCUUUUAAUGGGGCACUGCCGAACAGAGAAGGACUUACUGGAUGUCCUGUGUCCCAGUUUGCACCUUCGUAUCCGGGCGACGAUUGCCGUCUGUUGUUGCUAAAUUAUUACAACAUCUAGCUAGCAGUGGGUGGUAGCAUAGCAUUAGAAUCCCAUUAACCCUUAGUGAGAACCGAUACAGGAAUGGGUCGACUCGGCUAGACUUUAUGAUGUAGAUGUUAUUAUUAUUAUUUUUAUUUGUUUUUUUUUUAAAAUCCUGCUUUGAGAUCAGAGCCAAUACGAGAAGACAGUGAUUUUUUUUAAAAAAUGUUUUUUUAAUUCAAAUGUCCGCAGUCGUAGUGCUUUUAUAAUGCUCUCUAUGUCAUUUUUUUUAAAGACAAUAAUCUUUGUUCGUCUCUAAAUCAUCAACUCUAAAAAAAAAAAAAACGUUACUUACAUACUCAUUAUUAACACUUUGCAUGACAAGUAAGCACCAUGUAGAGCACUAUGCUACUGCACACAAUAACUAAACCUCUACUGCAUCAUUGCUUAAUCUAUGCUUUUAAACUUGAAUUUUGCCAACAAAUACAAUUUAUCAAGAUUAAAAGUUAUCUUAAUUUAGCAUGAUUAGUCGAUGUAAGUGCAGAUACUCCUUCAUCCCUAGAUAUGACAAAAAUAGAAAGAGAGAUUUAUGUGUUUCACACCUGGUUUUGUCUGUGACUUAUCCAGAUGAUUCAAUAAUUAAUAUGGAAAAAAAAUGAUUAAGUAAAAUUGUAGUACAAAAGUAUAACUUAAAUUUUAGUCAUUACGGUGCAUCUUGAUGGUGAGUUGCAUUGUGAAAAUUCUCUUGUGUCCUGAUAUCCCUCACCACCUAUAUUUCUUCUGUCCACUUUGAUACCCGAGUAGUUUACAUAUUUAUAGACUUUAAAAAUAAAGAUCUAUAAAGAGAUAGGGUUUGUAUCUAAGAUACCAAAAUAAAGCUUAAGAAGCUAGAGAGGGUAAAAUAGAUUUUACUGAAUGCUAGCCUGUUGCUAGUUCGUCAAACAUACUUGAAAACUACCAAACGUUUUAAAGAUAAUAAACACUCAACAUAUCUAAUUGUUGUGUCAGACUAAGAAAGUUAAUUUCUGUUAUAGUAACAAGGAGUGAUUGCUUUUAGGAGGUGGAUCACAUUAAAAUGCAAUCUUAAGUAAGGUCAUCCGAUCCAGGAGAUAUUCCCUUGCUAUUCUAGUUGCAGUCAUCAUGCAUCAAACUGUAGUCCUGGUGGGGGUGAUUGACUGUAACCUAAGCUAAUGCUAUAUUGGACUUGGUUAUCCUGGGAAAGAGAUUACCAAGCUAACUUUAGUCAUACCUCAUUUAUCUUCGAAAAAGCAGAUCUCCCAGCAUGUCUUCUAGGCAUUUGCAACUUUCCGCACCAAAAGAAUCACUUUUUAUUUUAUUGGCAAAUCAAAUUCUUAUUGACGUCAGAUUCAGAAAAAUGAUGCGAGAGAGCAAUGUGUGAUAUUUUAGCUACUAUAGUAAUACUACAAGUUGUAGUAAUGCUGGUUUGAUAUAUCCGGGUAACUCUGGUCAGGACCCACAGGUUGCAGACGCCUGGUGUAGACCAUUGACUGUAUACAAAAAAAAAAAAAAAAUGAGUUCAGGUUGUCUUUUUCAAAAGACAAAAAUGUAGUUUUUGUGAAUUCCAAUCUGAUUUAAUUAUGAUCACAAUGUCUUUAAAAAGGCCAAAGAUUGGCCUAGCUGUUUGAGACUAGUUGUUGAGACUGUGCGAUACUGUCAGAGAAAGAGAGAUGUUAUUUUCCUCGCAGCUUUACUGUAGAUCCGUCUUGGCUCAAAAUGUAUCACCAACAUGAAACAGUGGGAAAUUGCUUUAUAGCUGGUACUUAAGUUGCAGUCGCAGAGUUGUUACAAGUAACGGUACAGGUAACCUGUGGUUGUCUGUCUGGCUGGUGAUUUUUAGAUAAGAGAAGCUGUUUUUACCACAUCCAAUAGUGUUUCUUGGGCCUUUACUUUU